This 86-nucleotide transfer RNA is filed under the name Candidatus Flavonifractor merdigallinarum. RNAcentral describes it as "tRNA-Leu". It matches the Rfam family "tRNA". From Rfam's summary of the family: Transfer RNA (tRNA) molecules are approximately 80 nucleotides in length. Their secondary structure includes four short double-helical elements and three loops (D, anti-codon, and T loops). Further hydrogen bonds mediate the characteristic L-shaped molecular structure. tRNAs have two regions of fundamental functional importance: the anti-codon, which is responsible for specific mRNA codon recognition, and the 3' end, to which the tRNAs corresponding amino acid is attached (by aminoacyl-tRNA synthetases). tRNAs cope with the degeneracy of the genetic code in two manners: having more than one tRNA (with a specific anti-codon) for a particular amino acid; and 'wobble' base-pairing, i.e. permitting non-standard base-pairing at the 3rd anti-codon position. Lineage: Bacteria; Bacillati; Bacillota; Clostridia; Eubacteriales; Oscillospiraceae. The record is from RNAcentral.
GCCGGUGUGAUGGAAUGGUAGACGUGACGGACUCAAAAUCCGUUGGUGGCAACACCGUGUGGGUUCAAGUCCCACCACCGGCACCA